GACCGCAGCGUCGGCCGAGAGGACGCCGGGAUACUGGCCAGCUCCAAGUCGAAAGGAAGCGACGCUUGAGUUCUGUUUGGUGCGAAUUUUAAACAGAAGAACGCAGAAGAAUUCUCUUUAUGUUACCUUCAUUUAGCAACAAAUCAACUUGACUCAACUGAUACUUACUGAGUGCCUUUAAAGGAUGUGCUGAAACAGGUGGUGACUUUUCAAAUAAAAAUUCAGAGCCACAGGGAGAAAGUUGCAAUGUGGAACCAUCAACAUAUUGUACUUGUACUGAAUCAUCUUCAUAAAGUACCAUUCGCAGUUCGGCUGCCAUUACUACGGCAGGAUAAGAUAUCCUUCUAAGUCAAAGACUGAAUGAAAUAGGAAAAACAAUAGCAUAAAUAGUUC
RNAcentral lists this long non-coding RNA (393 nucleotides) under Pan troglodytes (chimpanzee). RNAcentral's name for it is "long non-coding RNA NONPTRT014104". The record is from RNAcentral. Lineage: Eukaryota; Metazoa; Chordata; Mammalia; Primates; Hominidae.